RNAcentral lists this ribosomal RNA (382 nucleotides) under uncultured eukaryote. RNAcentral describes it as "partial 18S ribosomal RNA". It matches the Rfam family "Eukaryotic small subunit ribosomal RNA", at positions 592 to 976 of the family's 1831-position model. The record is from RNAcentral.
UGUAAGCGUAUACCAAAGUUGUUGCAGUUAAAACGCUCGUAGUCGGACUUUGGCAGUUCCGGAUGUGCGCACGUCGUGUGCGCACUUCGCGGGGAUUGCUUUUGUGGUCUUGCGUAGGAUGAGGCACUUUUAUUAGUGAACGUCCUCACGCAACCACUUUUUACUGUGAGAAAAUCAGAGUGCUCAAAGCAGGCAUUUGCCGUGAAUGUAUUAGCAUGGAAUAAUAGAAUAGGACUUGGUUCUAUUUUGUUGGUUUGUUGGGACUGAGUAAUGAUUAAGAGGGACAGUUGGGGGCAUUUGUAUUUCGGUGCUAGAGGUGAAAUUCUUAGAUUACCGAAAGACAAACUGCUGCGAAAGCGUCUGCCAAGGAUGUUUUCAUUGA